Aedes albopictus (Asian tiger mosquito) is the source of this 1333-nucleotide long non-coding RNA. RefSeq lists it as uncharacterized. The record is from RefSeq and is a predicted model, not a curated record. Lineage: Eukaryota; Metazoa; Arthropoda; Insecta; Diptera; Culicidae. The transcript has 3 exons.
CCCACCAGGAAAAAUGUGAGACGUGAGACAUCUGUGAGGCACUGUUAGGUAUGCUGCAGCUCGAAAAGCAAGCAGCAUUGAUGUGCUUCUUCUUUUAUUUCGUUUUAUUUUUCUCUGUGAUUGUUGACAGUUAUGCAACCGAAGCAGUUUGCAUAAAAAUCCAAAACAAUCGACGCGAAAAAAUGGGUAUCGGGAAAAAUCAUUAAUUUUAAUCGUCGUUCGUCGUCGCGGGAGUGAUUAUGUGAUUAACCGAUAUCGAGAUGUUCUGGCUAGUGAUUUGGCAUUCGGUUGUGCGGGUCCGGUCCGGGUUGCGAUGAUCCGGGAAGCGGAUCAAGUGUAAUGAUGUGGGUGAAAUGGAUGGUGGAAAAUAUUUGAAAUUGAAAUGGUGUAGUUGGGAAAUUAAAUCAAGUGCAAGAUCAAGAAAGGGACCUGGCCACUGCCAAAGUGUAAUAGCCGGUGCCUCCCAAGUACACUCCACUCCCGUUGUGUUCGAAAAAGUGGGGCGCGCUCUUCCAUCGAUACUGAAUCUGACUCCAAUCCGCAGACGCGGAUGUACAACUCGGAGUUCCGCACUAAUCGUCCAGCUGGUUGGAAAUCGCUAAAAAGAUCGCCCACGCCCUCCAGUGGGAGAAAUUGGCAGUUCCGACGGGUGGGUCGAUAGUUGGAGCUGGCGGUGGCGCAGGAAAUCUACCCGGUGUUGGUACGGUUGGUGACAACGGAAAAGUAUUGGGAAAAGUGAUGUGUGAUGUGAUAAUGAUGUUACCUACAAGGUAAAUAUUUGUUAAUAGCUGGUUUCUCAAUCCGGAACAUAUUUUGCUGAAAACAAGGGUUGAUCCUUUUGCUAUGUAUGGCCAAGAAUCAGGCAUUGGAAAAAGUCAACCGGGAAGCAAUACGUGUCACGAUGGCUUUUGCUAUUGAGGAGGACCGGAUGGCACUUGCGUGGGACUGUAAGCGGAUGUUGCAUCAUCACGGCCAUUGGAGAAGAAGCACUGAUUCAUCGCAAAACCAAAGAAGUAAAUAACAAUCCAACAAGUAAAAAGAAAUCUGGAAAUAUCAGUGAACAAAUGAACGACCCGAAGAAGAUUGGGAAGUAAACCUUUGACAUCAGAUCCUCAAGGUCACUGUGGCUGUGGAAUGGAACAAAAAUUCCAUCCAUCCAUCCUUAAUCGUGUCUUACGUCUUCAUGCCAAUCAUCAACUGUCUUCUUGGAUGAUACAAGAGAUAAACAGUUUUCGGGAUUUGAACAGGAUUAUUAAUUACACAAAAUCAGUCAAAAACAAUUAUGAAAAAAUAAUACUAGCAGAACAAUGAUUGUAUUAUUUGAAAAUCAUUA